Molecule: long non-coding RNA, 802 nt
Filed under: Homo sapiens (human)
Lineage: Eukaryota; Metazoa; Chordata; Mammalia; Primates; Hominidae
Description: HSALNT0336270
Source: RNAcentral
AUACCCCUUCUCUGAUCCAUUUACAGGCCCCCUGCAGAAGGUCAUGAUGCCCUCAGUCUUUACACUUGAACUCUGGGACUCUCUAGUUACCUGGAGAAGAGGUGGCACUGUUUUCUAACAUGGAGACAGACACAACACAAACAAACAUAUAAAAGCUAAAAUCUGAAAAAGCAAGUAAAUAAGCAUGAUAAUUACCAACUUAUGCAAUAAAGGAUAUAGGCAAGGUGACGUCAGAAAGAGUAAUUUGGAGGUGGUGCUAUUUAAGAUAACAUCAUCAGGGAGGCCCUCCCGGAGACGGGGACAUUUGAGCUGAGAUGCAAAAGAUGGUAGACACACAAAGAGCAGAGAAGGGUAUGCCAGGAAGAGGGAGCAAGCCAAGACCCUCCAGCUAGUGGAGAGUUGGGGCCUGCAGGAACUGAAAGGCAGGAGGGCAGAAGGGCAGAGGUGCAAGCAGGGGCCACCUCCUGGAUGAGUUUAGAGACCAUGGUGAAGCCAAGUUAAAAGACAGACAUUAUAGAAAUAUGAUUGGACAAAGCAGGAUUUAAAAUGCUGUUUAAACAAUGCUAUUUUCUGUUGUGUCUGCUGUAUUCUAUAUUACAUUGCAUUUAACUAUAAAGAUAUUUUAGAGAGCAGGGGAGUGGAGGAGCCAAGAUGGCCGAAUAGGAACAGCUCUGGUCUACAGCUCCCAGCGUAAGCGACGCAGAAGACAGGUGAUUUCUGCAUUUCCAUCUGAGGUACUGGGUUCAUCUCACUAGGGAGUGCCAGACAGUGGGCGCAGGUCAGUGGGUGCGCGCACCGUGCG